Molecule: long non-coding RNA, 733 nt
Organism: Passer domesticus (house sparrow)
Lineage: Eukaryota; Metazoa; Chordata; Aves; Passeriformes; Passeridae
Exons: 3
Source: RefSeq, a predicted model, not a curated record
GGGACUUGUUUAUAUAAUGAUGUUUCUGUCAUGUCACCCAUCCCUUGACAUGGACAGAAAUUUGCCUUGAGGAGGAUCUGCUCUUUGGGCAUAGAUUGGGUUGGUCAUAGGGGGUUGAUUCUGAUAACAGACAGAAAGUGUUUAGAAAUGGUCUUGAAAAAGAAUACCCAGUCCAUUUUGACUUGUGCCAUAGAAAAGAAGAACAGUGAAAAGGCCAAGUAACAGAAAAAGUAUCCCAAAUGAUAUCAGACCCAGUUCUACUGAAUGCAAUUGAGAAAAAGUUGUGGACAACAAGAAGGCCAAUACCUUCAAAGGCAGAGUUCCAUCCUUGUGAAGCAGUUCAUUUGCCAGUGCUUUGAGCUAUAUAUAGAUAAAUACACUAUCACUGUAACAUCUGCUGCCAUAUCUACAAGACUACAAGGUGUCCUGAAAUUUAGCUUUGCAUUUUUGUUGGAGAUUUUUCCUAAGCAGAACAAAGAACAAUUGCCAUUGCAUAUCUCUGACAGAUUUGUGCUACUGAUCUUACUGGUACAGUAACAUAUGAUAGUAGAACAGAGCAGGAAUAAAAAAUACGAAACAAGAAAACUGACUGCAUUUCUGAUGUCCACCCCUUGAUAUAACAGCAGAGAGAUGCUGCAGAGAAAUAUCAGGGCAGAGAAAUAUCAGCUAUUUCCCUUCUCUUGGCUGCAACUGGGAAAAGCUCAAGUGUUUUAGGAAUGUCCUGAAGUAAUGU